This 484-nucleotide ribosomal RNA is filed under the name uncultured bacterium. RNAcentral's name for it is "partial 16S ribosomal RNA". It matches the Rfam family "Bacterial small subunit ribosomal RNA", at positions 30 to 507 of the family's 1533-position model. The record is from RNAcentral.
UGAACGCUGGCGGCAUGCCUUACACAUGCAAGUCGCCCGGCAGCACGGGUGCUUGCACCUGGUGGCGAGUGGCGAACGGGUGAGUAAUACAUCGGAACAUGUCCUGUAGUGGGGGAUAGCCCGGCGAAAGCCGGAUUAAUACCGCAUACGAUCUACGGAUGAAAGCGGGGGACCUUCGGGCCUCGCGCUAUAGGGUUGGCCGAUGGCUGAUUAGCUAGUUGGUGGGGUAAAGGCCUACCAAGGCGACGAUCAGUAGCUGGUCUGAGAGGACGACCAGCCACACUGGGACUGAGACACGGCCCAGACUCCUACGGGAGGCAGCAGUGGGGAAUUUUGGACAAUGGGCGAAAGCCUGAUCCAGCAAUGCCGCGUGUGUGAAGAAGGCCUUCGGGUUGUAAAGCACUUUUGUCCGGAAAGAAAUCCUUGGCCCUAAUACGGUCGGGGGAUGACGGUACCGGAAGAAUAAGCACCGGCUAACUACGUG